UUUAAUUGAAGAGUUUGAUCAUGGCUCAGAUUGAACGCUGGCGGCAGGCCUAACACAUGCAAGUCGAACGGUAACAGGGAGCAGCUUGCUG
Molecule: ribosomal RNA, 91 nt
Filed under: Cronobacter sakazakii
Lineage: Bacteria; Pseudomonadati; Pseudomonadota; Gammaproteobacteria; Enterobacterales; Enterobacteriaceae
Description: partial 16S ribosomal RNA
Rfam family: Bacterial small subunit ribosomal RNA
Source: RNAcentral